GACGAACGCUGGCGGCGUGCUUAACACAUGCAAGUCGAGCGGUAAGGCCCUUUCGGGGGUACACGAGCGGCGAACGGGUGAGUAACACGUGGGUGACCUGCCCUCAGCUCUGGGAUAAGCCUGGGAAACCGGGUCUAAUACCGGAUAUGACUCCAUGACGCAUGUUGUGGGGUGGAAAGCCUUGUGCGGCUGAGGAUGGGCCCGCGGCCUAUCAGCUUGUUGGUGGGGUGANGGCCUACCAAGGCGACGACGGUAGCCGGCCUGAGAGGGCGACCGGCCACACUGGGACUGAGACACGGCCCAGACUCCUACGGGAGGC
RNAcentral lists this ribosomal RNA (319 nucleotides) under uncultured bacterium. RNAcentral describes it as "bacterial SSU rRNA". It matches the Rfam family "Bacterial small subunit ribosomal RNA", at positions 28 to 349 of the family's 1533-position model. The record is from RNAcentral.